CUUAGUGGCGGACGGGUGAGUAACGCGUGGGUAACCUGCCUUAUACAGGGGGAUAACACUUAGAAAUAGGUGCUAAAACCGCAUAAGCGCACAGCUUCGCAUGAAGCGGUGUGAAAAACUCCGGUGGUGUAAGAUGGACCCGCGUCUGAUUAGCUUGUUGGCGGGGUAACGGCCCACCAAGGCGACGAUCAGUAGCCGGCCUGAGAGGGCGGACGGCCACAUUGGGACUGAGACACGGCCCAGACUCCUACGGAAGGCAGCAG
This 263-nucleotide ribosomal RNA is filed under the name uncultured bacterium. RNAcentral describes it as "partial 16S ribosomal RNA". It matches the Rfam family "Bacterial small subunit ribosomal RNA", at positions 91 to 354 of the family's 1533-position model. The record is from RNAcentral.